This 497-nucleotide ribosomal RNA is filed under the name uncultured bacterium. RNAcentral's name for it is "partial 16S ribosomal RNA". It matches the Rfam family "Bacterial small subunit ribosomal RNA", at positions 28 to 507 of the family's 1533-position model. The record is from RNAcentral.
GACGAACGCUGGCGGCGUGCCUAAUACAUGCAAGUUGAGCGCUGAAGGUUGGUACUUGUACCAACUGGAUGAGCAGCGAACGGGUGAGUAACGCGUGGGGAAUCUGCCUUUGAGCAGGGGACAACAUUUGGAAACGAAUGCUAAUACCGCAUAAAAACUUUAAACACAAGUUUUAAGUUUGAAAGAUGCAAUUGCAUCACUCAAAGAUGAUCCCGCGUUGUAUUAGCUAGUUGGUGAGGUAAAGGCUCACCAAGGCGAUGAUACAUAGCCGACCUGAGAGGGUGAUCGGCCACAUUGGGACUGAGACACGGCCCAAACUCCUACGGGAGGCAGCAGUAGGGAAUCUUCGGCAAUGGACGAAAGUCUGACCGAGCAACGCCACGUGAGUGAAGAAGGUUUUCGGAUCGUAAAACUCUGUUGGUAGAGAAGAACGUUGGUGAGAGUGGAAAGCUCACCAAGUGACGGUAACUACCCAGAAAGGGACGGCUAACUACGUG